RNAcentral lists this ribosomal RNA (253 nucleotides) under uncultured bacterium. RNAcentral describes it as "partial 16S ribosomal RNA". It matches the Rfam family "Bacterial small subunit ribosomal RNA", at positions 524 to 776 of the family's 1533-position model. The record is from RNAcentral.
UACAGAGGGGGCAAGCGUUGUUCGGAAUUACUGGGCGUAAAGGGCGCGUAGGCGGCCUGCUAAGUCGAACGUGAAAUCCCCGAGCUCAACUCGGGAACUGCGUCCGAUACUGGCAGGCUUGAAUCCGGGAGAGGGAUGCGGAAUUCCUGGUGUAGCGGUGAAAUGCGUAGAUAUCAGGAGGAACACCUGCGGUGUAGACAGCUUACUGGACCACUUCUGACGCUGAGACACGAAAGCGUGGGUAGCAAACAGG